UAAAAAUUUAAAUUUAAAAUACUAAAAUAGUAUAUAAUUAUUUAUUGAAACUUAAAUAAUUUGGCGGUAUUUCAGUUCAUUUAGAGGAAUCUGUUUAUUAAUUGAUAAUCCACGAAUGAAUUUACUUAAUUUAAAAUUUUGUAUAUCGUUGUUAAAAAAAUAUUUUUAAAUGAAAAUAAUAUUUUAAUUUUAUAAUUAAAAAUUAAAUCAGAUCAAGAUGCAGAUUAUAAUUAAGAAUAUAAUGGAUUACAAUAAAUUUAUUUAAAUGGAUUUUUUUUUGUAAUAAAAAUGUGUUUGUGGAUUUAAAUGUAAUUUUAUUUAUUUUAAUAAAAUGAUUAUAUAUUAAAAUAUGUACAUAUUGCCCGUCGCUUUCAUAAAUAAAUUGGAAUAAGUCGUAACAAAGUAGAGGUACUGGAAAGUGUUUCUAGAAAUAA
RNAcentral lists this ribosomal RNA (434 nucleotides) under Ostrinia nubilalis (European corn borer). RNAcentral's name for it is "12S ribosomal RNA". The record is from RNAcentral. Lineage: Eukaryota; Metazoa; Arthropoda; Insecta; Lepidoptera; Crambidae.